Molecule: ribosomal RNA, 602 nt
Filed under: Phanerochaete sordida
Lineage: Eukaryota; Fungi; Basidiomycota; Agaricomycetes; Polyporales; Phanerochaetaceae
Description: LSU rRNA
Rfam family: Eukaryotic large subunit ribosomal RNA
Source: RNAcentral
AAACUAACAAGGAUUCCCCUAGUAACUGCGAGUGAACCGGGAAAAGCUCAAAUUUAAAAUCUGGCAGCCUUGGCUGUCCGAGUUGUAAUCUGGAGAAGCGUCUUCCGCGCUGGACCGUGUACAAGUCUCCUGGAACGGAGCGUCAUAGAGGGUGAGAAUCCCGUCUUUGACACGGACUACCAGUGCUCUGUGAUGCGCUCUCAAAGAGUCGAGUUGUUUGGGAAUGCAGCUCAAAAUGGGUGGUAAACUCCAUCUAAAGCUAAAUAUUGGCGAGAGACCGAUAGCGAACAAGUACCGUGAGGGAAAGAUGAAAAGCACUUUGGAAAGAGAGUUAAACAGUACGUGAAAUUGCUGAAAGGGAAACGCUUGAAGUCAGUCGCGUUUGCUAGGACUCAGCCUUGCCUCGGCUUGGUGCACUUCCUAGUAGACGGGCCAGCAUCACUUUUGACUGCGGGAGAAAGGUUGGAGGAAUGUGGCACCCUCGGGUGUGUUAUAGCCUCUAGCUGUAUGCCGUGGUUGGGAGUGAGGAACUCAGCACGCCGCAAGGCGGGGCUUCGGCCACCUUCGUGCUUAGGAUGCUGGCGUAAUGGCUUUAAACGACC